Molecule: RNA transcript, 2392 nt
Organism: Triticum dicoccoides
Lineage: Eukaryota; Viridiplantae; Streptophyta; Magnoliopsida; Poales; Poaceae
Exons: 7
Source: RefSeq, a predicted model, not a curated record
CGGGGUUUCUAACCAUAGAGGCUGCACUCGCGGGUUUGGGCGUGGCAGAGACAGACGCCGCCGCUGCCGCCGCCGCCGUCGCCGUCUCCACGACGACCUAAACGGCAGCCCCCGCGGGAUCCCAAGCAACGAAGUGGGGCUCGUGGGUUUCGUCCCCUUCGGCCGAGACAGACGAGUGAACGCGCCGCCUCGUCGACGCGGCGCCACCGCUGCCGCCCUCACCGCCUCUUCACUUCUCCGGCGGCUCCCGGGAGGUUUGGGCGGGGCAGAGACAGACGACGCCACCGCCGUUGCCGCCUCCACGACGACCUCAACGGCAGCCCCCCGGGCCCCCGCGGGAUCCUAAGCAACGAAGUGGGUCUCGUGGGUUUCGUCCCCUUCGGCCGAGACAGACGAGUGAACGCGCCGCCUCGUCGACGCGGGGCCGCCGCUGCCGCCCUCGCCGCCUCUUCACUUGUCCGGCGGCUCCCGGGAGGCAGAGAAGGAUACAUCGGAGAAGGUUUUUGAAAUUGCUAAGAAGCAGCUUGGACUUCACUGAAGUUUGCGGCAACAUUAAGUUCUCUCACCUUGGAGCCGAAUCACUAUACAUGGUUUUCUAGAGAUCUGUAGAUUUUUUUCGUCCAAGAAGCAGUGGCCCAUUCUCUUGCUGGCAAGCUGGCCUUUUCUUGACAUGGCUACCUUAUGCAGUAGAUAAAGGACUCCACCACAAAUCUGGCAUCAGAUUUGUCACCAUGGCAAAUGGAACAUUUUUUAUGGCAAUUUAUGUUUGCUGAGGAUGGCAAGUUUAGUUGGACAAUGUGUCGCAUACCCACUGUGGCGAAUGGAGCACCAGGAUGCAUGUGUUUCGAUGAAUAUCGCACUGGCCAAGUACGGUGUGUUAAUGGAUGUAGAGAAUUGGAUGACUACUUGAAAUAUCGGGCUUUUGUGGCCCUGCCUCCUUGUCAAAAUCCGAGGACUGGUACUAUACUUCUUCCUGGUGAACUUAACAACAAAAAGCUAGUCUCUACUGAAGCUGGUAAGAAGUUUGUCCGGUCCAUAUUUCAAGGCGUCUGGUGUGUUGUGGAUGAUGGAAAAUACUUCAGAGGCACCAUUACUGAAGCCAACAUCUAUGUCAGUAGGGAUGGCAGUGCCAAGUUUCACAAUUUGGAGAUCACAGAUGAAGGUAAUCAUGCUCAGCGAGUUGCUAGGCAAAGAAGAAAUUACACUGAAGUUUGCACUAUUGCGAAAACCAAGUUUGCUCAAGCAGCUGCUUCUCUUGGGUACACAGAUCCCAAUGACAUUCCAUCAGACAUACGUCUUCUGUUCCAUAGGGUUAUGAACGACAAGGCCCUCUACAACAUAGGGUUAUACCACAUCCAUAUUUCUCUGGUCCCUAUAGGAGUUGGUAUGCUGGCAUUCUUUAAAAUUCAUGAUCAUCUACUGACCACUAUUCCUAAGGCCACGAGAGAUACAAUUUUGGAUAACCUGUAUGCAGAGUGCCAAGAGAUUUUUGGAAAGGAUCAAAAUCAUGUCCUAAACUGGGUGAAUGAAGCUCGGAUGAAUACUCUGCUGAAUGACAUCUACUGCCACAUUUUUGCUAAUUAUGUUGCUGAUGAGGGCAACAUCUGUAAGAAGCAAGACAUUAGACCACAUGAUCUCAAACUGAAGCGAGGGACCAUUGAGUACAAGAUACUGGUUAAGAGAACUGAAGUUGCACUGUUUUUGGAUUUCUUGAGAAAUCGAACAGCACACCGUACGCAAAGCUGGAUACUGGUGCAGAACGAGUACACCCCAGAAGACGCAGAUCUUGUUUGUCUGCUGAAAUUCUGUGAUUUUUUGGUUAAGGUGCAGUGGCUGUUGUGGCGAUUCAACAUGCUAGACAGGGUCAACUUCUCGGCUAUAUUUGUCUGACAUUGUCCCCAAUUCUGCACUUCCUCUGAGUUCCGUCUGACAGUCCUUCACUGAUCGGCAAUAUCAAAGUGAGAGAUCAGGCUGUACUUGUCCCCAAUUCUGCACUUCCUCUGAGUUCCUGUCUGACAGUCCUUCACUGAUCGGCAAUAUCAAAGUGAGAGAUCAGGCUGUAUCUUCUAUCAGAGAAGGGACUGAUACAGUGGCCUUUCUGAAUUUCCGGAGGAAGCUUACCGCUCAUCACAUGAACUGUUCUGACACCUGGUGAAAGUCUUAUUGUAGUCUCAUUAGCUAUGUCUAAAACCUAGUUUUACCGUAGUCUCAAUAGUAAUGGUUCAGUUCCAGAAAAAUGUUAUGGCUUGCUUGAAAGCGCAGUCUCAUUUGAUGUAUCUGAAUUUCUACCUUAAGAGUCAGACAGUUUUUGAAACCUCUAAUUCUCACGAAUUGUGAAAUUGUAAGACCUGUUCGUGUGUAAUAGUUACGUAUGCUCAGAUUAUUGGUAGUA